CUCGUGUCGUGAGAUGUUGGGUUAAGUCCCGCAACGAGCGCAACCCUCGCCUUUAGUUGCCAGCACGUCUGGGUGGGCACUCUAAAGGAACUGCCGGUGACAAGCCGGAGGAAGGUGGGGAUGACGUCAAGUCCUCAUGGCCCUUAUGUCCUGGGCUACACACGUGCUACAAUGGCGGUGACAGUGGGAAGCCAGGCAGCGAUGCCGAGCGGAUCUCCAAAAGCCGUCUCAGUUCGGAUUGCACUCUGCAACUCGAGUGCAUGAAGGUGGAAUCGCUAGUAAUCGCGGAUCAGCAUGCCGCGGUGAAUACGUUUCCCGGGAA
This 322-nucleotide ribosomal RNA is filed under the name uncultured Novacetimonas sp. RNAcentral's name for it is "bacterial SSU rRNA". It matches the Rfam family "Bacterial small subunit ribosomal RNA", at positions 1059 to 1378 of the family's 1533-position model. Lineage: Bacteria; Pseudomonadati; Pseudomonadota; Alphaproteobacteria; Acetobacterales; Acetobacteraceae. The record is from RNAcentral.